Molecule: ribosomal RNA, 251 nt
Filed under: uncultured bacterium
Lineage: Bacteria
Description: partial 16S ribosomal RNA
Rfam family: Bacterial small subunit ribosomal RNA
Source: RNAcentral
CUUUUGCUGACGACCGGCGCACGGGUGAGUAACACGUAUCCAACCUGCCCUUUACUCGGGGAUAGCCUUUCGAAAGAAAGAUUAAUACCCGAUAGCAUAAUGAUUCCGCAUGGUUUCAUUAUUAAAGGAUUCCGGUAAAGGAUGGGGAUGCGUUCCAUUAGGUUGUUGGUGAGGUAACGGCUCACCAAGCCUUCGAUGGAUAGGGGUUCUGAGAGGAAGGUCCCCCACAUUGGAACUGAGACACGGUCCAA